GUCAUAGUUGAUUAUAUUCCAGUAGUCAACAGUAACAACAACAACAACAAAAAGCUAUUAAUUGCUGACAUCUUUCAUGUAUUUGUAUUUAUUUAUGUAUCGCUUACUUUAACACUUAAUUGAUGCUGCUGCAGCCUUCGUUGCUCUUCUUCCAGUUCAGACAGCUCCUCUGAAUAGCUCAGGUUCUCAGUCUUCAAACGUGUGCUGGCAAAGCACUCUUCUGAAUUACAGCGUUGUCUCAGUUACUCUGGUGUAGACAGGCACACGUGUCAUCUGUGAAAGCCACAUCAACUCCAUGUUACACUCAUGGAAACAAUAGAAGAGGAGGAUCACUGGCAUAUCUGUCCCUGGCUGGAGCUGAAUAACCAACCACUGUAAAUUGAUACUAUCUUAUCUGUAUCAGAGGAUUCUGUCUGGAGAUUGUGAAGAUGGGAGAGUGAAUUUGGGAAGCAAAGUUGACAAGAAUUAUCAUCAAAUGUACUGACAUAGUUUGUGUUUUGUGUUUACGUGAAUCUGAAAUUUCAUGGAAGGAAGACCAGUUUUAUUUAACACAACAGCUGGGACCAGCAGCAUGCUAAUUACUGAACGUCCUGUAGUGUCAGAGGAAAGAAACCAAUACUUCUUGAGAGGAUUUGAAAUUUCAGCGAGCUGAGUAUGGAUGAGUGCAGCCUCCCCGUUUUCUGCCUCAGAUGUUAUGUAAAAGAAAAUGAUGAUUUGUUAUAUAAGGCAUAUUAUGGGGAGCGUUCAGCCAUACUGUGAGGCUCCUUCUCCUUCCAUUCCCAAUGCACAUUUUGGCCGUUAUACCGAAUUGGCAUAUAACCAGUUCACUGGAAUUAGAUCACAUUUACUGUGGUAUUUGGGAAGACUGCCAGUUUGUGGAGGUGGAUCAGCUCUCUGAUCAGAGUCAUUGCGUGGCUGUUUAAGCAGCUUGGCUGGCAGAGCAGAGAGAGAAGUAAGAUGGAGAAGUUGUUCAAACCAGCUGGAACAGCACUGCUGCCAGAGCCGAAACCCAUCUGUUAUUGCUCAGCCAUGAAGCGCUUGGACCAAAGACAUCCCUUACUGUCCUUUUGCCUAGAUAACUCAGUCUUCUGUAAUGCUGAACAAGGAAAAGAUCGUCAUUUAUGUUUUAGGCAGACCUGAAUUCACUUCAGUAAUAGUUUUUUGGCACUGGAGAAUAUUUCAAGUUGCAGUUUUGCUUUCCUUCUGACCCAUAGUCAUCACCUGAAUUGAAGAAGGUGGUAGAUGGAGACUACAUUCCAACAUCAGAAAUCUGUCUAAUCAUUCAGCUCUGUGGAGGUGUGAAGCUUUGUAAUGACUUGCCAUAUGACCUCUCGCCUCGCAGUGCUAGGAAAGGAAGUAAAGCUGAGAAUUCCUGGUCCCCAGCCCUUGAUUUAAACUUCUCCAUCUUAAGCAUACCUCAGAAACCGAGAACUCUGUGUACCUGUUGCUUGAUUGCAGGAACACGUCAGGUACCCAGUGUUGGUCUGAGCUGCAGAGAGCAAAAAGAGAGGAAAGAUGCAGACAACCGUCUGUAUCCCUAUUUGAGAAAACAGUUUGAAAUGUAAAGAAUAUUCUUCAUCAAGCUACAUCAUCCUUUCCUCUUUGCUAAUAAAGGAAGCUGUCUACACCCCACGUCUUUACAGUACUUUGGUAAGUACUUUGGUAAGACACUGUGAUAAGGUGCAGUCCUUGUAGAAAACACCAAAGGACCCCAGCGAAAAAGUUGGAUAAUUUAGAGAAAGUGUAGAAAAGAAGCUGGAUGUAGGGAACUGACACGGAGAGGGACUGUGCCUUUUCUUUGAUUUCUGUUAUGUGCAAGCUACAUCUGUUGGCUAAGUUAUUGUAGAUUGAGGCCGUGUAAAUUCUUUCUUUCAGAUGAUAAAUUAUUCACGAUUGGGAUUUAGAAAGUCCUGGGUAUGGUGUUUGCUUCUUUCUCCAGUGGCAGAGGCUGGCUACAAGCACUUUGUAAUACCAGUGGGGUCUUUUUUGCACUGGACAAUUUUUUUUCAGAGCAGCGUACUUCUAAGCAGCCCAUAUCCCAGUGGGAUACAGUUAUACUUAAAUGGGAAUACUUAUACUGGCAUACCUUCUUCUGGUCUGAGAAGAAAAAUAAACUCUCCCUGUAUAAAGCUCUUUGAUGCUGUAUAUGGGGUCCAUCUUCCCACAUUUGGACAUGUAUGAGUAAGUCAAGUAUCCUGGGCUUCAUUUUAGUCCAUGGAAGAAAUAGCGCCUUCAGUACAUACACAAAAUAUCUGAGACAACUCAGAGAAAGCACCCUAGAGACACUUUCCAUUGACUGUACAGGGUUCUUAACACAAGUCACAUUUAGAUGUAUAGCUUUCAAAAGAUUAAAACUGAAUACAAUAAAUCUGACCAUGUGUAUCCACAAUGAAAUUUGAAUCAUUGCAGCCACACUAGUGCAAAAUCAUGAAAUCUUUCAGUGGAGUUGUAUGGGGUAUAUUCUUUUCCCCUAAGGUGAACCAAAGCCUACACCUAAGGCCCAAGACAGAGCUUUCAUGCACUGUGGGUAGGGACUUUGCUAUGCUGUAGGAGCAGUGGGCAGAAUACUUAUGUAGGUGGGCUUACUAACUGUGUGGCAGACGUCUUACUGUGAUAAGUACCUGGUUGCUUUUUAGUGCACGUCCAAAAUACAACAUCUGAUGACAUGUUUUGAACUAGUGGUAUAGAAUUAGAAGCUGCUGAGAUAAUUCCACUAAUAAUUAAGCUUGCCAAACAUGUUCCUUUAUAAAACCAGAAAUGUAUUUCUUUCCACUUUAAGUACUUUUCAUUACUGACUUGAAUGAAGAUACUUCUUUUUUUACAGAAUACAGAAUUCAGGGGAAGAAAAAAAAGCAUGGACUUUCCAAAGGAACCUCCUACCACCUUCCCUCCUUAAAUAACGAAGAGAUGGUUUACAACAAUAUUCAUAGUAAAUUAACUGGCUUUUAGAAAAGCCUUGGUUUGGUAUUGGGGAAGUAUGUCCAUUCCCUGUGUGUGGGAGGAUCUUAUAGUAAGCUCUUUGCAGUGCUCUUGGGAUUUCCACCUUCACUUGUUGGAAAAGGAGUAGCUUGGAACUAAUGGAUUUUGCCCAUGGUGUGGGCAGCACAGAGAGCACUGGAGCUACGUGUUGAGGCAGAUACAUGCUGGCUGAGGGGGACAGUCCUGCACGCUGUGUGGAGAAUGCACUGUGUGGUUCUCAGCCAGGCUUCUGAGUGCCUGUGCUGUGUAAGAGAGGGCCUAAGUGAGUAAGCCCUUCACCUUUGAUAGUGAUGAUUACAAAUGCCAUUUAAGAUACAUAUCUUAAAAGAUAUUCUCAGAAUUUCUGCUUUUUCAGCAGUCUAAAAUUUUAAAAUGAGAUCUGCAACUUUGUUGAUGAAAGCUGGAGUGUCAUUUUAACCCCAAAGUGAAUGACAUCAUCCCUAAAUUAGCAAUAUUUACAUGCUUGUGUAUAUCCUUUACAUCCUCUGACUUUUAACCCAGCUUAUCAGUGGUUCCUUGCAUGGCUCAGGAUAAACAUUAUUUGUGCCUGGACUCUAUUUUAAGGUCUCAGCAUAUAGCUGGGUUACUGUGGCUUGAGAAGAUGCCAUCCAUCUUUACUAACUGCUGGUAAUUGCCCAGGUACAUACAGUCGGCCCCCACAGUUGUGAGAUGAUGUGAUGUUGCUUAUGCUUCUUCGAUAGAUGUUUAAGUGAUUCUUGUUACCCCAUAUUAGGGGUGGUGUGACAGCAUGCCCAUGGACAGCUAGAGUGUUAAUCUGACAGGCUGAAUCUUGUUUUUCCAUUUAUUUUCGGGUUUAUUGAGAGACUUAAAUAGGAACAACUGCUAGACCACAUUGUGUCAACCUCCCACGAUGACUACAUACAUUGUCUUCCCAUAGAAAAUAGGGUUUAUGGGGAAAAGAGAUUAAAAAAAAAAAUCUUGUACAUUAAUUUUCCUUGCAAUCUGAAAGUCAGCAAGUGGCAAAAACAUGCUCUGUGCCUUGAUAUGCCACAGAUCAAGACAAGACAUGCCAGGAACAGAAAGACUUAAAGAACAGAAGACUUUACGUGAAGCAAAGUAAGAAUUGGGACAUUGUGAAGCAUGUCCUGAUGUUGUUUCAGAAUUAAACUGUGAAGUGCUAUCGACCUAGACUUGUGGAGGGCACCACAGAAGCAUGUUGUGUAGUGUCCAUGGAGUAAGAUUCUUAUUCUGCCUUGAAAGGAGAACCUUAAAUAUCAUGGAUUAAUGCCGGAUUGGUCAACGGAAGUUUUGGACCUUAGCUGCCAGAGAGCUGCGUGCAUGGUGUUACCAUCACAUCCACUGAAUGUGCUGGAGCUUUCCUGUCAAGGUUUUAAUUUCCUGCCAGUGAUUUUAUUUUUAAUUUUUUUGAGACAUUAGAAGAUCUUUAGCCAUGACUGUGUAUCAGCAGCUGAAAGAAUUUGUGAGGAUGAACGUAACUAUUUGCUCCAAAAAACCUACAUAGCUCUUUUCACUCCUUUUGACAAGUAUCCAUGAAUACAUUUAAGUUUUAGAGAGCCCUGGAGUAGUUCUUACUGCUGUAUUUGACCAGCGCAUUGUCUGGACUGCUCUCCAUUUGUAAGUGAUGAGAGCUUUUCCGUGCAGGCAGCCCAACCACUGGAAGGUCAGCAGUCUGAUGCUGGCUUCAAAACCACGAGAUUGGCUGCUUUCUGCAUUGGGUAUCAAUGAGUCACAUUACCUUCUAGAAAACAAAACAAAAAAACAGCCGGACUAAUUUCAAAACCUGCCAUUGGAGAAAUAAUGUGUGAAGACCUUCUGACUGGAGAUGGAGGAAGGAAGGAAAAGGCUGUGCACUUUUCAACAUGACCGUGAAGAGGAAUUGCCAUUCUCUAGCCUUGCUCAGCCUGAACGUGUGCUUCAUGAGAACAUCUGUCUCAUGAAGGUGCUUGUUCAGGAGUGGUAGCUGAAGCCCAACUCCAAUCCAUAGUGGUAUCUAUGGCCUGAAAUGCCAAUCCUACCCACAUAAGGUGAUACCACCAAGUAUCUGACUGGUUGCCAUAGUGUAGGUAGGUGGAUCGUGGGCACCUACUGCUGCUUUCGCCACUGAGGUGGUAGUUGUGGUUGUGGUGUCUUCUCCACUUGUGCCAAAGAAUUGCUUUUGCAGAUCCUCCAGAUCUACUGUGUGCACAGGAUGGAAAGGUAAACCAUUCGUACCAUCUAUAUUCUCAGUAUCUCUCUGCAUCCUGAUCCUAGAGGAAGCAAUGUUUAAAAGCAUUGGAAAAAAAAAAAAGUCUUCUUAAUUAAAAAUUAAUUUAAAAUCUUAUUAAGCCUCUUUGGCCUUAGCAAUACUGAGGGAAAAAAACGCCAGCACUAAUUUUGCAGAAAACAGUUGUGUUUAAUAACAUGGUAAUUUGUCACAAAUUUCUGCCCUUGCCCAUUCCAAGGACAAAAUGAGGUUUAACACUGAAAUAGUUAGAAAACAUUUUACCUCAUACAUUUUAACACUGCAUUUUCCCAGUAUAGUGCUGGGCUUAGGUAUUCUAAUUUUAUCUUCAGUAAUUGGUUCCUAAUUUUAUUGUUGUGGCUGUUGCUCCCUGAGGGCGUUUGGAAAUGAGAUUCAGCAUUAAAAAAAACCCUUAGCUGAAACAGACUUUUAAUAAUGAAAUCAAUGAAAGGAGCAUUCCUAACUAUAAAACCGGAGCAUAGGUACAUAAAUAAUCGUUACAAUUUGUUUAGUGCUGAGUUUUCCAGCCCUGUUGCAUUUAACCAUUUUUAUUGUCCUGAGGAUAUUCUGUGCAGAUCUUUGGAAAGGCUGAUGGAUGGCAUUUUUUCAACCAAAGCGUUUUUCAGAUGUGGUACAGUCCACAGGAAACCUUUUGAAAUAGAAGAGGACUGUGGCAGCCAGCGCAGCAUUGUGAUGUUAUGACCAAAGAGCUGUUUUGAAGAAUGAGAGACAUUUCUUCUGAUAGGGAAAUAGCUGAUACUUACCCUUCACUUCUGUGGGAAAGCUGGUGGCUUCAGGUGGGAGGAGGUAUGUCUGUGGGACUCUGGGAUUCCCUCUGAGAUGGCCAGGUGCUCCCAUCCCUGGGUGCCCUUCUCCACAUCAGCAGAGAAGAUCAACAGAGAUGUCCGUGAGGAUUGCAUCUGCAGACCUCUUCCAUUCCCAUGUCUGUAGAUUACUCAGAUAGGAUAAUGUGUUUAAAAAAGGAUUAUCUUGCAGGGUCUUGUUUGCCAAAUAUCAGCCUGGAGCAAGUUUUUACAGCUGAGUUACAAUGACCUGAUAGCAGUGUUUAUGAUAGAAAUGGUGCCAACUACUUGGUACCAGCGGCGCGCUGGUCGCUUAGUCACUGAAAGACUUUGUUGUCAGAAUCACUUUUUAUUUUGCAAAUGGGAAUAUGUGUGGUGAAUAGUGCUCGGUGCCUCUAAGCGCAGAGGCUCCGCGCUGGUUAGCGGUUAGCCAGCCCCACAGGCACUGCCUGCAAGCAUCCCCACGCAGUGCUGCCAGGAACAACAGCGGCUGACGCUUGCACAGCACUUUUCCUCUUUGGGCUGAUCACGGGACGCACUGCACAUGAGCUGUGGGUGCUGCAGAGCUGCUACUGCGGCUGUCUGGCAGCUCAGGGCAGGAGGGGUCAUGGUGGUAAGCAGGACCAUGUGCUGCCCACCACUCCUGCAUGUGCCCUCUAGUAGGGGACGCAGCACAGCCCAAUGCAGGCACUCAUUGCUUACUGGGGAUCGCUACCACACUGCCUGCCUGGAGAUUCAACUCCUUUAUCCUAUGAACAGACAUCUUUAUUGGGAGAGUUUUUAUUCACCUGGUCUAGCACAGCAGUUCCCUCAGCUCUUUUUACUACUUUUCAUGUCACUGGGGCAGAGAGUGGGAAUUUGUUCCUUUAAGGAGAGUAGUUUUUGAUCCUGAUCUGAUUUCCCACAGUUGGGUAGAGAAUACCAAACACACAAAACUAUAUCAUGUUUCUACAGUGGAGUUACAAAGCCUCAUUCACCCCUGUGCCCUUAUGCCAACAAAGUUCUGAUGAGGGCAACCCCACGACAGGGGGGUGUGCUCUGGUGGAACUGCAGAACAACCUUUCUAUGGGUAUGCCCUUGGGAUCCUGAGAAGCAACGGCCUUGUGUGUUGGUACGGGCAAAAGCUACCUAGAAUUUAGAUUAAAGGGAAAAUGUAUUUGCUGAGCCACCCUGAGUAACACAGCAGCUCCUGCAGUAACACAGUUGUUGUCACUGGCUGGGUUUGAGCAGCUCGUAGUCAUAUGAAAGAACAUGAGAAAUGACAUUGUGACCCGAGACCUCUGAGCUUCAGGUUAUGUGAUACGUUGCCUGCUUUCGGUUAAGCUCAGCAUGAAGGAAAUUGUUGCCAGUUGUGUUUCAGUAGUGCGCUGAGAAAAAGGGCUGCAUUUAAGUUUGCCAGAAAGUUGCUGAAUCACAUCACUAUGUAGAAUAUAUUCCUCAAAUUGUCUCUCUCCAAUCAUGCAAGGAAAAGGAGGAAAAGAAAGAAAGAAAGAAAGAAAGAAAGAAAGAAAGAAAGAAAGAAAGAAAGAAAGAAAGAAAGAAAGAAAGAAAGAAAGAAAGAAAGAAAGAAAGAAAGAAAGAAAAGAAAAGAAAAGAAAAGAAAAAGCCAUCCUGUAUCAAAAGAUGAGACGUUAUGGGGGUUAGUUACGGAAAAGUAAUAUAGCCUUUUUAAAAACUCUCAAGCUGCAGUGCUUAGGAACUGAAGGGCAGAGUGUUCCUUUCCUCUGUUACUGCUGCAUGACCUGUGCUCAACUAUACGUAUUGCAGCCUUAAAGCUUGCUCUUGCUCCCCAGGAGACAAAUGCUAAAGCAUUCUUAGACCUUCGUGCGUGGGGGGGAGAGCUCUCAGUAUAAUUUCAUGGAUAAAUAUUGUAUGCUCUGUGCCUUUUCUUAUGUACUUACAGAAAUGGAAGUAAGCUGGUGCACACUCUGGUGGCCAGUCCUACAGAGAGAACUCACGGGGAUGACACAGUAAAUUACACUUGCAGACUUGCCAUGCAUUGUGCACCAUUUUCUCCUCUGCACAUUUGUUAUGUUUCAGACGAGAAAGCAUAUUCCUCUCAGUUAAGCUUCUUAGAAACGUCCUUACUCCCAAACCUAUGUAUUUUAGUUACCAGUCUUUUGAUUUUAAAGGCUUAAUCUGAGUUUGUUUGGUCAGAUCCGCUUUCUGUUCAGUUUCUCUGCUCACAGCUCCCUGCCUGUUUGAAAAACAAAAGCAAAAACAGGAUGUCCUGUCAUUCUGUCUUUCCUUGGGCUAUAAAAGCAGGGCAAGGUAAGGCUCUUGGCACAGGUCUGUAUUGCGCUCAGCAGAGGCACUCUGCCUAGGCUGGGCCUUCUGGGCUGAACCAAUAACUACCAACUUUCUGGGCUUAGAAUAAAUGUAUACAUGGGUUGAAGAUUUUGAUUUUAAUGUUGUGUGUACGUGCAUGUACAUUAGAAUGCAUGUAAUGUUUGAUUUGUAGAAAUUCGGGCACGUGAACCCUAAUCACAGUAUCCCAAUAACCCUGAUAUUUCUGUGUUUUCUGUCUUCUGAAUGCAAUUUUAAUAUUGAUUCUGCUUAAUGCUGCUUCUCUAGUGUUAUCUGUAGCAUGCAGUUGUGCAUUUCCUAGUUAUUCUGUUUGUUCAGCAGGCAGCCCUGAGCUUUCCUUACUGCAUUCUUCCCUUACUUCUAGCCAGUGCUAUGUUACUUUGGCUGUAGGUGUCAGAAGAUGAAAUUCUGCUAAACUUUGAAGAGAGGAGGCUGAAGUGUCAUGACAUGCCAGCAACUACAGAAGAGGGAAAACAACAAGUGAUUCUUCUUGCAGGGCUCAGGUGUGAACUUGAAGACAGGGCAAGGAGGAAAGGAGGGGAGACAUGGAGCUGCAGCCCUCUUGCCCAUGGCCUGGGCAGGUGGCUGCUGCUGCUGUUCCACUUCUUUGAAGGGUAACCCGAUCAGGCCCUGGGACUGCUCCCUAAGACAUGAUUGUCCUCCACCUUUGGCUGCCCUUCCCGCAGGGCUGUUGCUUAAGGCUGAAAACCCGUCACUCAGGAAAAGCAGGCGGCCUGCUCCCUCUAUAGGCUUUUCUGGUUGUUGCUGCCAUGAACCGGCUGCCCAGGGGAUCAGAGCUGCAUGCGGGUUUUGAAAGCUGACAUAAACUCUUACGUGAGGUGUAAUUUGCAUUUCUUUUACAUUUAGAGAUUUUUUUUUUGCAUGUUUACAUGUGUAAAUGUGUAUAUGCAUGUGGAUUCAUGUUUGUGUACUGUUCAUGUUGUCUAAUGGCUAUCCACGUAGCUACUUUCUCUGCAGAAGGCACAUAGAUGAAGCAAUUUUUACUGCUCAAUCUUGGAUUGAGCACAUACAGACUGUAUGGAUUUUUUCUGAACCAAUGCAUCAUCCUUUUUGUUUGUGAGCUAUCUGUUUGAUAAUUGUGUAACCAUAACACUCUUUCAAUUGCAUUCUACCUUUAUUAAGGGAAGAGACACAGUCUGAACCACGGCACGCUUCCUCCCCAGCACCUGCUCUCCUGACUGCACCAGCACUGCAGUUCCUGAUGCCAUUCUGAUAACAAAAGCAAUCUGGAUUCAGAGCAUCCUCUUCGUCACUUGGAUCAGCCCAGGGAGCCGCUGUGCAGCCCAGCCCCAGCAGCCGCUGCAGAGCUGCAUGGGGGGCGGCAGGGUGGGAGGCAGGCAUCCCCAGGCUGCAGCUCCCCUGUCUGCUGCUGGCAUGGGUAGCAGAGGGGAUUCCCCUGCGGUGCCUGAAACAGUGCUGCAGGGAAAGAUCCAACACAUCUGUGGGUUAUAUAUUAACAGUCAGCAGUGACCUUCUUGCAGCGUGGCGGAGUAACCGUCUCACUGAAGCACUGAUGAAGAAGUGGCAGCUCUUUCCGCUCCGCAGAGCGCAGGUGUUGGCACCGAGCAGAAGGCUGCCAGACCAUUUCCAUGCAAUGAUACCGUUACCAAUUGCUCCUUACUUUUUAAAAUGUGAAUACAUUGUUCUGAAGUUUUCGGUACUAAAUGAACGGCUGUUUGUUGCGGGGAACGGAAGGGAGACAACAGGAGAAGUCUUCACUAAAACGUUGAGGGCACUUCCAAGGAAGCAUUGGGAGAGUAAUACACGGGCUUUGCUUAUAGGGAAAAGCCUUAGCAGUGAUUCCAUGCUGUGCUCAUUUUCCCUUCACCAGGUCUGACCUUGCUCUGCGUUGAGCUCAAUCAGAGAUCUGCUGCAGUGGGGUUGUGGGCUUUUGUCACUUACGGCACAAACAAAUUGCUUUACCUUAAGCUUAAAAGCAAAGCCACGCCAGGAUGGCAAAUGUGUACAUCACCAGUUAAAUGACUGAUGGUUUUUUUGUCUUUGGAGCUUCUGGUGAAUGCAGAAGCGUAGUAGUGAAAGAGAAAAUAAAGGUAAGUUACAUACGUAUCUCACACAUGAAAUUUAUAAUGGUCUUUCUAUGUGAGAUAAACUGCUUUCCAAUGGUUACAUGCAUAGAUAUACUGAGGAUGAUUCCAUCUGGUGUCCAUUGUGCGCUGUGCAUAAAUUCAGAUGUUUUGACUAAAGAUGAGGCUUUCACAGAAGACCUUUCUUUUGGUCAGUGUAUGUCACUAUUUAAUUAAAAGGAAUCCUGGCCAUGUUUCAAUUCAA
This is a long non-coding RNA of Gallus gallus (chicken), 10602 nucleotides long. RefSeq lists it as uncharacterized. The transcript is spliced from 16 exons. Lineage: Eukaryota; Metazoa; Chordata; Aves; Galliformes; Phasianidae. The record is from RefSeq and is a predicted model, not a curated record.